Molecule: ribosomal RNA, 253 nt
Filed under: uncultured bacterium
Lineage: Bacteria
Description: partial 16S ribosomal RNA
Rfam family: Bacterial small subunit ribosomal RNA
Source: RNAcentral
UACGGCGGGUGCAAGCGUUAAUCGGAAUUACUGGGCGUAAAGCGCACGCCGGCGGUUUGUUAAGUCAGAUGUGAAAUCCCCGGGCUCAACCUGGGAACUGCAUUGGAAACUGGCAAGCUAGAGGCUCGUAGAGGGGGGUAGAAUUCCAGGUGUAGCGGUGAAAUGCGUAGAGAUCUGGAGGAAUACCGAUGGCGAAGGCGGCCCCCUGGACUAAGACUGACGCUCAGGUGCGAAAGCGUGGGGAGCAAACAGG